UCGAGAAUAAUUCGCAAUGGGCGAAAGCCUGACGAUGCGACGCCGUGUGAACGAUGAAGGCCUUCGGGUUGUAAAGUUCUGUCGCCUGCGAACAAGGUUAUAUUGUGAAUAACAGUGUAACUUGAGUGUAGUAGGAAAGGAAGCACCGGCUAACUCCGUGCCAGCAGCUGCGGUAAUACGGAGGGUGCAAGCGUUAGUCGGAAUUACUGGGCGUAAAGGGUGCGUAGGCGGGGAUGUAAGUUAGAUGUGAAAUACCGUUGCUCAACAACGGCCGUGCAUCUAAAAACUGCAUUUC
RNAcentral lists this ribosomal RNA (295 nucleotides) under uncultured Chlamydia sp. RNAcentral describes it as "partial 16S ribosomal RNA". It matches the Rfam family "Bacterial small subunit ribosomal RNA", at positions 355 to 641 of the family's 1533-position model. The record is from RNAcentral. Lineage: Bacteria; Pseudomonadati; Chlamydiota; Chlamydiia; Chlamydiales; Chlamydiaceae.